Molecule: unclassified non-coding RNA, 329 nt
Filed under: Bombus terrestris (buff-tailed bumblebee)
Lineage: Eukaryota; Metazoa; Arthropoda; Insecta; Hymenoptera; Apidae
Description: misc RNA ENSBTSG00005035528.1
Source: RNAcentral
CGCUGUUCAAACGAAAUGAAUUAUCAUCGUCAAGAUUUUAAACAAAAUUCGAAAAGAAUUUUGAGAAUUUAACCGGUUAGCUGUUGAGAAACCUCUGUGAGAAACGUGUACCUAGGAUGUGUGGCAAAAAGUAAACGACGAGUAUACUCGUCGUAAGGCAACAUACUGCCAUUUCUUCGUGACGAGUAUACUCGUCGUAAGGCAACAUACUGCCAUUUCUUCGUGACGAGUAUACUCGUCGUAAGUCAACAUACUGCUAUAUCUUCGUGACGAGUAUACUCGUCGAAACAGCUAACUGGUCAAUACAUUAACCCUUUGCAUUCCUAUGU